This 626-nucleotide ribosomal RNA is filed under the name uncultured Russulaceae. Its description in RNAcentral is "LSU rRNA". It matches the Rfam family "Eukaryotic large subunit ribosomal RNA", at positions 47 to 649 of the family's 3401-position model. The record is from RNAcentral. Lineage: Eukaryota; Fungi; Basidiomycota; Agaricomycetes; Russulales; Russulaceae.
UAAGCGGAGGAAAAGAAACUAACAAGGAUUCCCCUAGUAACUGCGAGUGAAGCGGGAAAAGCUCAAAUUUAAAAUCUGGCGGUCUCUGGCCGUCCGAGUUGUAAUUUAGAGAAGCGUCUUCCGCGCAGGACCGUGCACAAGUCUCCUGGAAUGGAGCGUCAUAGAGGGUGAGAAUCCCGUCUUUGGCACGGAUGCCUGUGCUUCUGUGAUGCGCUCUCGAAGAGUCGAGUUGUUUGGGAAUGCAGCUCAAAAUGGGUGGUGAACUCCAUCUAAAGCUAAAUAUUGGCGAGAGACCGAUAGCGAACAAGUACCGUGAGGGAAAGAUGAAAAGCACUUUGGAAAGAGAGUGAAACAGUACGUGAAAUUGUUGAAAGGGAAACGCUUGAAGUCAGUCGCGUCGACCGAGACUCAGCCUUGCCUUGGCUUGGUGUACUUCUCGGCCCGACGGGUCAGCAUCAAUUUUGCCCCUCGGAUAAUGGCAAGGGAAAGGUGGCACCUUUGCGGGUGUGUUAUAGUCUCCUGUCGCAUGCGAGGGGUGGGAUUGAGGAACUCAGCGCGCACCUUGGUGUCGGGGCUUCGGCCCACGUCACGCGCCUAGGAUGCUGGCGUAAUGGCUUUAAACGACC